AAAAGCUCAAAUUUGAAAUCGGCCCCCAGGUCGAGUUGUAAUUUGUAGAUUGUAUCUUGAGAGCGGAUUAAAGUCUGUUGGAACACAGCGCCUUAGAGGGUGACAGCCCCGUAAAAUCUAUUCUCAUUGUAAGAUACUUUCGAAGAGUCGAGUUGUUUGGGAAUGCAGCUCUAAGUGGGAGGUAAAUUCCUUCUAAAGCUAAAUAUUGACGAGAGACCGAUAGCGAACAAGUACUGUGAAGGAAAGAUGAAAAGCACUUUGAAAAGAGAGUGAAAAAGUACGUGAAAUUGUUAAAAGGGAAGGGUAUUGAAUCAGACUUGGUGCUGUUGUUCAACUGUGUUUUGGCACAGUGUACUCAGCAGUACUAGGCCAAGGUGGGGUGUUUGGGAGUGAAAAAGAAGUUGGAACGUAACUCUUCGGAGUGUUAUAGCCUACUUUCAUAGCUCCUCAGGCGCCUCAGGACUGCGCUUCGGCAAGGACCUUGGCAUAAUGAUUCUAUACCGCCCGUCUUGAAACACGGACCAAGGAGUCUAACGUCUAUGCGAGUGUUUGGGUGUAAAACCCGUACGCGUAAUGAAAGUGAACGUAGAUAGGAGCAGUAAUGCGCACUAUCGACCGAUCCUGAUGUUUUCAGAUGGAUUUGAGUAAGAGCAUAGCUGUUGGGACCCGAAAGAUGGUGAACUAUGCCUGAAUAGGGUGAAGCCAGAGGAAACUCUGGUGGAGGCUCGUAGCGGUUCUGACGUGCAAAUCGAUCGUCGAAUU
RNAcentral lists this ribosomal RNA (762 nucleotides) under Geotrichum candidum. RNAcentral describes it as "eukaryotic LSU rRNA". It matches the Rfam family "Eukaryotic large subunit ribosomal RNA", at positions 103 to 911 of the family's 3401-position model. Lineage: Eukaryota; Fungi; Ascomycota; Dipodascomycetes; Dipodascales; Dipodascaceae. The record is from RNAcentral.